This is a long non-coding RNA of Octopus bimaculoides (California two-spot octopus), 870 nucleotides long. The record is from RefSeq and is a predicted model, not a curated record. Lineage: Eukaryota; Metazoa; Mollusca; Cephalopoda; Octopoda; Octopodidae.
UAUCACAUACCUGUAAUGCCAUCAAAAAUUAAAUUGUGUACCGUCAGUUAACUAAGUUAAAAUAUAUUUGUUUUAUUACUUUAAUCGUUUCUAGGAUUUAUAUGAAAUGUGGCUUUUUUCUCUGACAUUUUUCAUGACAUUUUUUCCGGACACCGAUAUGGAAUAGAGGUACAAGAAUAAUAUUCAGACUUUGAUUUUUUUUUUUUUUUUUGUAAUAGUUCUCAGUUACCUGAAUACUCAGAAUGUAGAUGCGGAUGCCGGAAUAAUAAUGAAUAAUUGCUCGAAGUUACGGAGAUCAGACUCAAUACCGUAUUUAUGCAAUGGUGUCAUUAAGCCCAGAGUGUUGACGCAAGCGUUUGAGUGGUAUAUGUAUCUUUAAAUCAGACAAGAUUAUAUUUGAUAAAGCUGGCCCACGCUUUAAUAGAGGGUUAUGGAGAAUUGGCUUCAACGACAAGAUAGAAUACGUAGAAACAAUCUGAAUACGAUUAAAGCAAACAACGUAACAAGAAAAUAAUGUUGUCCAACCGUCAGACAGUGAAUGUCUAAAGGCACAAGGCCCGAAAUUUGCGGGGGAGUGGGGCAGUCGAUUAUAUCGACCCCAGUACGCAACUGGUACUUAAUCUAUCGAUCCCGAAAGGAUGAAAGGCAAAGUCGACCUCGGCGGAAUUUGAACUCAGAACAUAAAGACAAGAAAUACCGCAAAGCAUUUUGCCCGGCGUGCUAAAGUUUCUUAUUUCCUUAUUGCCCACAAUGGGCUAAACAUAGAGGAGACAAACAAGGACAGACAAAGGGAUUAAGUCGAUUACAUCGACCCCAGUGCGUAACUGGUACUUAAUUUAUCGACCGAAAGGAUGAAAGGCAAAGUCGACC